CACGCAAUAGAACCUCUUCUAGCUUACUGAGAGAGAGAGAGAGAGAGAGAGAGAGAGAGAGAGUAGUGAGAAGAAAGGUAAAGGAAGAAGUAAGUUAGUCGUACACGACGAACGAAGUAAACAACGAAGAAGUAACUACAACCGAAACGAAAGUAAGAAGGAGGAAGGNNNNNNNNNNNNNNNNNNNNNNNNNNNNNNNNNNNNNNNNUAACGUAACGUAACGUACGAGUAACGUAGUAACGUAACGAACGUAACGAACGUAACGUACGAACGUACGAGACGUACGUACGUAGACGACGUAGAGAAGAGAGAGAGAGAGAGAGAGAGAGAGAGAGAGAGAGAGAGUUGCAGAUAAAGGGAAAGAGAUAAUUGCUCAGCCAGAAAUACAGAGAUAUCCAACAAAGAUAAGAGAGAGGGAGAGAGCUCAAUAGGAUCUUUAGCUUAGAGACAUAGUUACAGAGAAACUGAAAGGGAUAACUGCUAAGCCAGAGAUAUUAGAGAUUAUUAGACAGAGAGAGAGAGAGAGAAAUAGGAUCCUUAUCUUCGAGAAAAAAAUUUUCAGAGAAAGGGAAAGAGACACUUAGCCAGAAAUACUGAGAUUAUUACAUAGAGAAGAGAGAGAGCAAUAUGAUCCUCAGCUCAGAGAGAGAGGGAGAGAUGAAGUUACAGUCAUUCAGGCAGAUAUACAAAAAGAAAUACAGAGCAGAGAGAGAGAGAGACACUUAGCUUAGAGAGAGAAAGCAACACUUGAUCAGAGAGAAAGUAACAGUUGACCAGCCAGACCUAGCUCAGAGUAAGAGAGAUGAAGUUACAGUAAAUCAGUCAGAUAUACAUAAAGAAAUAUAGAGCAGAGAGAGACAUAGCUUAGAGAGAUAAAGCUACCCUAGAUCAGCCAGACUUAAGCUUUUAGAGAGAGAGAGAGGAAGAAAUACUUGCAGCCAGAAAUUCAUGAAGAAAUGUAGAGAGAGAAAACCAGAUUUCUUAGGAGAGAGAAAGAGGCUUUGCGCUUAGAGAGAGAUGCGCAUGCAUUUGCCGAAAGGGGUUUUGAAAGCGUGAAACUCAC
RNAcentral lists this long non-coding RNA (1063 nucleotides) under Amborella trichopoda. RNAcentral's name for it is "long non-coding RNA (ATRI_LNC002361)". Lineage: Eukaryota; Viridiplantae; Streptophyta; Magnoliopsida; Amborellales; Amborellaceae. The record is from RNAcentral.